Long non-coding RNA from Pan troglodytes (chimpanzee), 1259 nucleotides. RefSeq lists it as uncharacterized. The record is from RefSeq and is a predicted model, not a curated record. The transcript has 2 exons. NCBI's taxonomy places the organism in Eukaryota, Metazoa, Chordata, Mammalia, Primates, Hominidae.
GGGGGAAAGAGGAAAGGGGGAGUGUGGCGGGGCGGGUGAUAAUGGGGAGGUAUCAGGGCAAAUAAUAGAGCAGGGGUUGGGCGAAGAGAGCGCCAGUGCGUAGCGACGAUUCUGGGAGAGGAGGUGCUCGGAGGAAAGGGCGGGGGUUGCUGAUGUAAUGGGGAGAAGUGAUUAAUCCUUCGGUUCGCCGUUUCAGCUUCCCCCCUACCCCAACCUUCACCCGAUUUUUUUGAACUGAAAAAAAAGUGGAACGAGGGAGCCAAUCUUUGGUAACUCGGGUUUUCUGUGGUAGGUGGGUUCAAAAUCUGAGCUGUAGGGAGCGCUAGAGAUUUCGUGCCCUUUAGCCAAGCUGAGGGUAUUUGCAAACCCUGAAGAUUUCCUUCUCCGAGCUUUGGGCUUGGUCCCACAAACUGCAAGGAAAAGAAAAACCCUCAAGAGGAAUUACCUUUAUACCUGAUGCCCCCAACAUAAUCUCUCUCCAAGGGAAACUUGUUUUUAUUGCCUUGCGGCUGUUACGAUGACUGAAAAUGUAUUCUGGAUUCUCCCCCUUCUCUCUUUUGUUUUGCAUUUUUUGGAUGUGGUAAAACUGGCAGUUUAUCUGAUUAUCUGGUUUUCAGAACUUUGGACGAUGUCUCUGAGUGUCAUCAGUUGCUGUCUAGGUUUGACAUAGAUAAUUAAGCAACUACAAAGCGUGAUAAAGCUUUUGAGAGGGAGGAAAGUGUAUUUUGGAAGGAGGGAGAGACGCAAAGAGGCGAGCCUGUGUGUUGAGUCCCAGACUUGGUGUGUGACUACAGGCAAAGUACUUCACCUUUCUAGAUGUCAGCCCCGCCCCCCUCACCUCCCAAGUUUAAAUAAGAACUUAUUUUAGACUACAUGAUCCUGUUUUCAAUUUUUAAGAGUUCUGUGAUUUUGAGAUGAUCUCUCUUUAGUCCAGAAAAAUGGAGGAAUGUAGGUCUAUGUUUGUUUCUCAAAAAAAUAUUUGAGGAGGACAGCUGUUACAAAACAGCUGGAGAACUCCAAAUUUUUAUGGUGGUUAGCUAGGUGCAAAUGGGUACAAUUUUAGGUUUGUUCAAAUAAACAUAGGGGAAAAGUAAAAGUACAGGAAAAUUACAUUAUACAUAUAAGUGUGUCCAUUUCUGAUUUUUCUAAAAAUUUACUUUUUGAUUUGACAAGUACUUUUUGGCUCCUUCCGUGUAUGCAUUAAUAUGUAUAUAAGGUGUUAUGGGAAGUACUAAUAAAAGGAAAAUAUUGGGCAUAAA